Molecule: ribosomal RNA, 468 nt
Filed under: uncultured bacterium
Lineage: Bacteria
Description: partial 16S ribosomal RNA
Rfam family: Bacterial small subunit ribosomal RNA
Source: RNAcentral
GACGAACGCUGGCGGCGUGCUUAACACAUGCAAGUCGAACGGACAGGCCCUGCUUUUGUGGGGUGCUCGAGUGGCGAACGGGUGAGUAACACGUGAGUAACCUGUCCUUGAAUUUGGGAUAACUUCAGGAAACUGGGGCUAAUACCGGAUAGGAGCUCCUGCUGCAUGGUGGGGGUUGGAAAGUUUCGGCGGUUGGGGAUGGACUAGCGGCUUAUCAGCUUGUUGGUGAGGUAGUGGCUUACCAAGGCUUUGACGGGUAGCCGGCCUGAGAGGGUGACCGGCCACAUUGGGACUGAGAUACGGCCCAGACUCCUACGGGAGGCAGCAGGGGGGAAUAUUGCACAAUGGGCGGAAGCCUGAUGCAGCAACGCCGCGUGCGGGAUGACGGCCUUCGGGUUGUAAACCGCUUUCGCCGGUGACGAAGCGGGAGUGACGGUAAUGGGUAAAGAAGCACCGGCUAACUACGUG